CACCAGACUCCUACGGGAGGCAGCAGUGGGGGAUAUUGCACAAUGGGGGGAACCCUGAUGCAGCGACGCCGCGUGGGUGAAGGAGUAUUUCGGUAUGUAAAGCCCUAUCGGCAGGGAAGAAGCAAGACGGUACCUGACUAAGAAGCCCCGGCUAACUACGUGCCAGCAGCCGCGGUAAUACGUAGGGGGCGAGCGUUAUCCGGAUUCACUGGGUGUAAGGGGAGCGUAGACGGCCAAGCAAGCCAGGGGUGAAAGCCCGGGGCCCAACCCCGGGACUGCCCUUGGAACUGCUUGGCUGGAGUGCGGGAGGGGCAGGCGGAAUUCCUGGUGUAGCGGUGAAAUGCGUAGAUAUCAGGAGGAACACCAGUGGCGAAGGCGGCCUGCUGGACGAUGACUGACGUUGAGGCUCGAAAGCGUGGGGAGCAAACAGGAUUAGAUACCCGAGUAC
This 448-nucleotide ribosomal RNA is filed under the name uncultured bacterium. Its description in RNAcentral is "partial 16S ribosomal RNA". It matches the Rfam family "Bacterial small subunit ribosomal RNA", at positions 329 to 793 of the family's 1533-position model. The record is from RNAcentral.